This 75-nucleotide transfer RNA is filed under the name Streptomyces sp. AA4. RNAcentral's name for it is "tRNA-Gln". It matches the Rfam family "tRNA". Rfam says of the family: Transfer RNA (tRNA) molecules are approximately 80 nucleotides in length. Their secondary structure includes four short double-helical elements and three loops (D, anti-codon, and T loops). RNAcentral also lists the same sequence under 1 other name. The record is from RNAcentral. Lineage: Bacteria; Bacillati; Actinomycetota; Actinomycetes; Kitasatosporales; Streptomycetaceae.
UGCCCGUUCGUCCAACUGGCAGGACGCCGCGCUCUGGACGCGGAAACCGAGGUUCGAACCCUCGACGGGCAGCCA